This 98-nucleotide non-coding RNA is filed under the name Carlito syrichta (Philippine tarsier). The record is from RNAcentral. Lineage: Eukaryota; Metazoa; Chordata; Mammalia; Primates; Tarsiidae.
AGUUAAACUCAGUGCAGUGGUGUUUACAGCUAAUUGCUCACAACCACAGAUUUCUUUGUUCCUUCUUCACUCCCACUGCAUCACUUAACUAGGCUUAA